AACGUAGGUACCGAGCGUUAUCCGGAUUUACUGGGCGUAAAGCGUGUUCAGGCGGUCUAGCAAGUCGGGCAUGAAAUCUCUCGGCUCAACCGGGAGGGGUUGUCCGAUACUGUUGGGCUUGAGGGCAGCAGAGGGUGGUGGAAUUCCGGGUGUAGUGGUGAAAUGCGUAGAUAUCCGGAGGAACACCAGUGGCGAAGGCGGCCACCUGGGCUGUACCUGACGCUCAAACACGAAA
RNAcentral lists this ribosomal RNA (235 nucleotides) under uncultured prokaryote. RNAcentral describes it as "partial 16S ribosomal RNA". It matches the Rfam family "Bacterial small subunit ribosomal RNA", at positions 524 to 758 of the family's 1533-position model. The record is from RNAcentral.